UACCUCUUCGGUUCCCGCCGUUCUUCUUCUUCUUCUUCCCCAGUUGCAGAGCAAAAGCAAGCAAGCGAGCAAAGCUUCACCUUCCAGCUCCAAUGGAACCGCCAUCGGCGAGUCCCGGCGAACACUCUCUGGACCCCUUAACAAGGUUCACUAGUAUUCCUCUCACGCGCCACAAGCUCGCUUCUCUAAGAUCUCUCGUCAUCAACCCUUCGACUCCAAUCUCCUUGAUUACCUCCAUCUUAGAAGCCCUAAGUCGCCAUCUGGAGCACGGUGGCGACUCCCUCCUACUGCCACACGCCCUCAAGCUACUCUCCGAGCUCGCCUCCCACCGUCCUGGCCUCUCGCACGUCAUCUUCGACUGCGUGCGCUCGCGCCUGUUCUCGUCCGAGUCGGCGCACGUAGCGGCCGAGUCUCUCGACGCCAUUGCGCUGGUAGCAGAACGAGAUGAAACCCUGUCUUCUUCCUUGAAUGGCCAAUUCGAUAGCUUCUUCGUCUCGCUCUGCUUCAAUCGUUCCGUCUCUGUGCGACAAUGGCUUCUUCGAAACGCUGAGAGGUUUGGCGUUGGGUCUCACGUGUCGAUCACUGUGUUCCUAGGGUUCACGAAGGAUCCGUAUCCUUGUGUAAGGGAAGCUGCUUUGGACGGAUUGGUCAAUCUAGGCAAGUCAAGUGUUUUUGAGGAUCGUGGCCUUGUUGAAGGAUGCUAUUAUCGUGCUGUGGAGCUCUUAGGCGAUGUGGAAGCUUGUGUAAGGUGUGCUGCCGUUCGAACGGUCUGUGACUGGGGGCAUAUUCUUGUAGCAUCUAUGCAGGGGACAGAAAAGAGAGAGCAGUCAGAUGCAACAUUUAUCCAGCUUUGUUCUAUGGUCAGAGAUAUGAGUAUGGAGGUUAGGGUUGAAGCAUUUGUUGCCCUUGGGAAGACACAAACUGUUUCUUUGAAGAAUCUGUUACAAAGCUUAUCUAAAAAGGUCCUAGGUAGUAUGAAGGAGAACAGAUCUGUGUGUCAAUCUACAGGACCAAUUGAACUGUCCGCAUCAAGUGUUGCCGGUGCUGUAGUGCAUGGCUUUGAAGAUGAAUAUUAUGAGGUCCGAAGGUCUGUAUGCCACUCCAUGAGAAGGUUAUGCAUGAUUUCUUCUGAGUUUUCUGGUGAGGCUAUAAAUUUGUUGAUGGAUAUGCUAAAUGACGAUUCAGUGAUUGUCCGCUUAAAAGCUCUGGAAACGAUGCAUCAUAUGGCAACCUGUGAUCAUUUUAGUUUGGAAGUAAUGCACAUGCAAAUGUUGCUUGGAACUCUUGUUGAUAAAAAUGAAUUUGUACGAGCUGCAGUGAGGAAAGUACUUAAAUUUGUGAAGUUGCGCGAUCUGGAGCUCCUUAAAUUAUCUGUUGACGGUCUUAUAGAGAAUCUCGAGACAUAUCCUCAGGAUGAAGUCGACAUAUUCUCGGCACUCUUCCAUGUUGGUCUACGGCAUGGGAACUUCGUAGCUUGCUUUAUCGAUGAAGUUUUUCAUGAGAUAGAGCCUUCUUCUGAUGGCAAGUUGAGCUUGGAUUGUGCCAGAGUAGCUGCUUUGCUUGUAUUAUCCAUAGCGGCCCCUAUAUUUGCUGAACAAAAUAUUGGUGAAAUUCCUCCGAGAGUUUUUUCUUAUGCAGUUACCCUUUUGGGGAGGAUCUCUCAUGCUGUUGGGGAUAUUACUAGUCAAAAUGCCCUAUUCGAAUAUUUUUCUCAGGGCAGUAGUUGCAUGGAAGAUAACAUUUCUGAAUUUGUAGAGCAGAUAUUAGCGAAUUUGGGUAAAGAUGGGGCUGCAAGUUUAGCUAGCAACCAGAUAAACGAUCUUGAUCAGUUUCCCCUGGGGGAAGCUACCUUUGAGCACAUGAAGACGUAUGCCUGGAGACUCUGGCAGCCAACAGAGGAACCAAAGUUAACUGCAGAACAGCUACAGAUUCAUGAUGAUUUAACCAGGUUCCUGAAUGGUAUCUUUACCAAGGUCAAAGCCAUCUGGCCCUUGGUAAAAGCAGGCUUUACGAAUGAAGUAUUAAAGAUUUUGAGGGUUUGUGAGGAAGAGCUGGAGACAGUAGAGACAAAAUGCACUGGUUCUCCAGCACUAGCAUUCACUUUGCAAUAUAUAAGGACUUUGAAGUUGCUUGCUAGCGCUUCGUCCUAUUUUCAUCCCACCGUUGGUCAAUGUUGUAGAGUAGUUAGUCAGCUGGACAUUUUACUGGUAAAGCUAGAGAGGACACUCAGGGAUUUGAAGUGCAGGUUCACAGGGUUGUCUAAAAAAGAUGAGUUGUACCUCAUGGAGCUUACAAGUGUUUCCUUGACAAUGAAUUUCUCAAAAUUAAUGACAGGCUGCAGCUAUAGUACCAAUUUGAAAAGGCUAGCAGCUGUAUUGUCACGGGUGGAGUGCCUUCAACAAGAACAUGGUGUUGGGCCAUCCUCGUUCUUAUCUGAACUGAAGAAGUCAAUGCCUGAUAUUCAUUCUGCUGCAGGCAGCAUGUUUUCCGUUCCGCAUUUCUUAAGGAAGAUGCUUGAUGCUUUCUCUGUUAAGCAAUUUGAGCUCUCAAGAACACUCCUGAGCUUAUCUGCAGAAAUAACUGUCCCCGAUAAUGAUUCAGAAAACCCUUUUCAUUUUAUUCAGGGUUUACCUGUUGGUAUACGACUAGAGAUUACUUUGCGCAACAUCUCUAGGGAGAAUAGACUGUGGCUAGAGAUGACGGUGGGAAAAGAAUCAAAGCAGUUUAUCUUUCUGGACCUGAAGUUGUUUGGAGGAUCCAAUGAGUUGAGGAAAGUGACCUAUUUUGCGGCCUAUUACAAAACUCCAAAAGCAGUGUCAUUCACCUUGAGAGUUGGUAUUGGAGUGGAAUGUUUCCCUGAGGAUAUUCAUGCAGGCAUGAACAGUGGGGGACCAAAACGUGAAUUGACAUAUCUUUCUCCUGUAAGUGAAGUCUACUUUUCUGCUAAAUCUCAGAAGUUAACUUGAGCAGUCGAGGUGGACAAGCUUUGUGAGACCAUUACUGUCGAAGCAUGUGCCUGAGUAAGUAUCAUCGUCAUCAUCAAGAGCAGCACUAGACGCUGCUAUCAGAUUUAGACUCUGGUGUAGGUGCCUGAGAGGAAGAAAUCGUAUCACACCUUCUUCAUCCUUGGACGAGUGCUCUUUGGGCAACCUGUUGUGCCUCUAUGGGGCUUUGUUGGGUGAGAGCUGAUCAAUUGAGCAAGAACUUUGGGUAUGCAAGGUAUUGUUAUCACUUGCCGCAAGUUGGAGUGCGUAUCAUCAGCCUCUCUUUUGAUUUUCUGGUUGGUUUGAAAGAGCAGAACAAGAGAGCUUUUGAGGAUGGAGAGUCCUCUAUUCAAUAUCUUGUUACAAAAGUGGCUUAAAGUUCUACACCUUUGGAAUUGAGGGAAUAUACUUUUGGAUGUAAAUGCUUUUUGUCUUGUGAAUGAAUCUCUUUUUGAUACGUGCUCUUUUUAUUCAUGGGAUGGCACCCCCUUAGUGCCUCACAGUGAACUUAUAAUAUCAAAGAAAAAGAGCCAGUGGGGGUCACUUUGCAGCUGUAGAGCAGCUAGAGGAACCAGAAGAUCUCAAUUUUGAUGGACUGCCAAUUUGUCGGCUACACUCAACUUGGGUAGCUUUAUGGAGUCUGGAGAAUAUGUGAUAUAUACUGGUCUUGUUGAACACACUCUUGGGGGUUGAAGCCUGAGUAGUGAGUUGUGCUAUGCCGGUAACCUAUAUGCUUAAACAAGGCUAUACAAUUGCUGGUUAUACCUUGAAGAGUGCAGUCGGGCAGACUAAAUUGAACAUAACUAUUUGAGAAAUGAAGCGGGAGUUUGUUCAUACCUAUAAAGACUUCAUGAGACCAUGGCAGAGCACUUUUGCAGGGCAUUCGUGAAAGCUGGAUAGAAAUGUGAUGCCAAUGAGAACAACUAGAGCGAGACUUUUAAUGGGUUCAUCAGGAACUCCAAUGUAUUUCUGAGAUCUCCCACCGUCUGCAAGCACAUGUCCUCCCUCCCAAAUCCACCAUAAAUCUAUCAUUAUCAACGUCAACUUGAAACUUGUCCUUAAUACAUGGUCUUGCAAUGCAAAACCUAGACAUAACUUUUGGUUCCUCUACCUUUGCCCUGAUUCUUGGACAUAAUUCAUCUCUUGUAUCUACCGUCAACUUCUUUUUCUCAUACAUUCUCUCCAUCAAUAUUGUUCUUAUCCCUCUAACAUAUCAAGGCACAUUUACGCAGACCGGAAAAAACUGUAGAAGGAAGA
Rhodamnia argentea is the source of this 4241-nucleotide RNA transcript. It is a transcript of the gene named protein SIEL, with no coding region annotated. The transcript is spliced from 10 exons. NCBI's taxonomy places the organism in Eukaryota, Viridiplantae, Streptophyta, Magnoliopsida, Myrtales, Myrtaceae. The record is from RefSeq and is a predicted model, not a curated record.